AGGACGAACGCUGGCGGCGUGCUUAACACAUGCAAGUCGAGCGGUAAGGCUCCUUCGGGAGUACACGAGCGGCGAACGGGUGAGUAACACGUGAGCAAUCUGCCCUUCACACUGGGAUAACCCCGGGAAACCGGGGCUAAUACCGGAUGCGACCACCGACGGCAUCGUCUGGUGGUGGAAAGUUCCGGCGGUGGAGGAUGAGCUCGCGGCCUAUCAGCUUGUUGGUGGGGUAAUGGCCUACCAAGGCUUCGACGGGUAGCCGGCCUGAGAGGGUGACCGGCCACACUGGGACUGAGACACGGCCCAGACUCCUACGGGAGGCAGCAGUGGGGAAUAUUGGACAAUGGGCGAAAGCCUGAUCCAGCAACGCCGCGUGAGGGAUGACGGCCUUCGGGUUGUAAACCUCUUUCAGCAGGGACGAAGCGCAAGUGACGGUACCUGCAGAAGAGCACCGGCCAACUACGUGCCAGCAGCCGC
Molecule: ribosomal RNA, 477 nt
Filed under: uncultured bacterium
Lineage: Bacteria
Description: SSU rRNA
Rfam family: Bacterial small subunit ribosomal RNA
Source: RNAcentral